This 253-nucleotide ribosomal RNA is filed under the name uncultured bacterium. RNAcentral's name for it is "partial 16S ribosomal RNA". It matches the Rfam family "Bacterial small subunit ribosomal RNA", at positions 524 to 776 of the family's 1533-position model. The record is from RNAcentral.
UACGUAGGUGGCAAGCGUUGUCCGGAUUUAUUGGGUUUAAAGGGUGCGUAGGCGGUUGAUUAAGUCAGUUGUGAAAUACGGCAGCUUAACUGUCGAGGUGCAAUUGAUACUGGUUGACUUGAGUACAGACGAGGUAGGCGGAAUUGACGGAGUAGCGGUGAAAUGCAUAGAUAUCGUCAAGAACACCGAUAGCGAAGGCAGCUUACUAGACUGUAACUGACGCUGAGGCACGAAAGUGUGGGGAUCAAACAGG